This 459-nucleotide ribosomal RNA is filed under the name uncultured bacterium. RNAcentral's name for it is "partial 16S ribosomal RNA". It matches the Rfam family "Bacterial small subunit ribosomal RNA", at positions 338 to 795 of the family's 1533-position model. The record is from RNAcentral.
CCUACGGGAGGCAGCAGUGAGGAAUAUUGGUCAAUGGGCGAGAUCCUGAACCAGCCAAGCCGCGUGAGGGAAGACGGCCCUAUGGGUUGUAAACCUCUUUUGUCGGAGAACAAAACCCGGGACUCGUCCCGGACUGCGUGUACCCGAAGAAAAAGCAUCGGCUAACUCCGUGCCAGCAGCCGCGGUAAUACGGAGGAUGCGAGCGUUAUCCGGAUUUAUUGGGUUUAAAGGGUGCGUAGGCGGAAGGUUAAGUCAGCGGUAAAAUGUCGGGGCUCAACCCCGUCGAGCCGUUGAAACUGGGUGACUUGAGUGGGCGAGAAGUACGCGGAAUGCGCGGUGUAGCGGUGAAAUGCAUAGAUAUGGCGCAGAACUCCGAUUGCGAAGGCAGCGUACCGGCGCCAAACUGACGCUGAGGCACGAAAGCGUGGGGAUCGAACAGGAUUAGAUACCCCUGUAGUC